Long non-coding RNA from Pistacia vera, 849 nucleotides. RefSeq lists it as uncharacterized. The transcript has 3 exons. The record is from RefSeq and is a predicted model, not a curated record. Lineage: Eukaryota; Viridiplantae; Streptophyta; Magnoliopsida; Sapindales; Anacardiaceae.
AGAGGGAAGAGAGAAAGAAGAAAGAAAGGAAGAAGGGAGAGAACGUAGAGAGAGAGGAGUAGAGAACAAUGAAGGUGGCUGGAAAAGUGCCCUUCAGCCAACAAAACUCUGAUGAUCAGAAAGAGUGGAGGAAGAUCAAGCAUAUGUGAGGGAGGCAAGCGGGGGGCAUUGUUAGAGGAUUUCAAUCUUUAGUGGCUUAAGGGUCAAGCUCCAAAAUGGCCCAAGUGGGUCGAAGGCCUGAGCGAUGCAGAUAUCGCUACACAGGAUUUUGCCUACCCAAGUGGGUCGAAAGCUCAAGUGAGACAGAUAUCGCUACACAUGAUUUUGUCGGCCCAAGUGGGUCGAAGGCCCGAGCGAGGUAGAUAUUGCUAGACAUGAUUUUGCCAACCCAAGUGAGUCAAAGGCCUCAACGAGGCAGAUAUCAUUAGACAUGAUUUUGUCGGCCCAAGUGGGUUGAAGGCUCGAGCGAGAUAUAUAUCGCUAGACAUGAUUUUGCGUGGGUUGAAGGCCUGAGCAAGGCAUAUAUCGCUAAACAUAAUUUUGCCAGCCCAAGUGGGUCGAAGGCCCGAGUAAAGCAGGUAUCGUUAGACAGGAUAUGAUUGUACCGACCCGAGCGAUGCAUGGUCUCGCUGGGUUGAAGGCUUGAGCGGUGACCGAUUCUGCCUAGUAGGAUGGAUAUAGUGGUUCAAACGGUGCGAUGUUAGAUCUUGUCAGGUUGGACAGAUUUAUGUCUAGGUACUAGUUGGAUAAGAGUUUUCACAUGUGAUUGAGAAAUGGUUUGGGUAUGUAUAUGUAUAUCAUGAAUUUAUAAAUGCAAGUGCUAUCUGUAUAUGAAAACGGUUUUCAGAA